Molecule: non-coding RNA, 170 nt
Filed under: bovine gut metagenome
Source: RNAcentral
CGGCUCUCAGGAAACUGAGAUUAAAUGGGAAUCGGGUGAGAAUCCCGAACAACCGCCAUUACCGUAUCUGACGAAAUAUAUACAUUAUGUCAUUGGCUUUUUGCUGAGAAGGCGUAUAUAUACGCACAUAAGUGCCAUAUCACAAGCCGGGAGACCUGCCGCCGGGAUUA